UCCUCUUCCUCUCGAUUUCUUGAUUCUCUGCCGUUCCGCUUUCAUUUUUCUUCGGUGGAGAACCUGCAGCUCUUCUCUUCGAAAACUGAAGUUCACGCCAGCCCCCACUACCGUUGGUCCCCUUCGGUCAGAGCCUUCCUCGAUGGCCUCGUUUGUUGACUGAGCAACACCCGUGAAUCUCAAAGACCGAAGCUGCCCAUUUUCAGCGUCGCACGCCAGCAUCUCCAGCGAAGACCACUCAUCUUCGGUCUUCCUUCGUGCCUUCAAAAUCAGUUCACCGAAGGCAGCAUCAACUUUGGUCGGCCACUCACGCCAGCCUCCACCAAAAGUCAGCAACCAGCAGUCCAGCGAAACUGCCCCUCAUCCGCGCCAUCUGUCCGCGAUCCAACUUCUCUCAGUCAACUUCAAGCCACGCCGAAGCCCCUUCGUUGACUGCAUCUCGUCCGCAACGCCAGCCCACGCGUCCGACUUUCCUUCAGCUUGCGCCUUCAACGAACAAAUCCCUGCUUCGCGGAGGCUGUCUCAAUCGAAUCCCACCGUCUCGGCCAGCUGCACCCUUUUCGUGGCUUGCACUUUCCUCGGGCGUGUCGUCAUCCUCGAAGCCAGCUCGUGGGAUCGAGCAAAGCGCAGCCCACCACCCGCAAACGGCCCAGCAAACUCUAGCGAUUUGGGCCAUGUCUCCAGUCCAGCACUUUCAGCAAUUCGGGCCCAGCAAGAUUCAGUCCAAAUGAGGGCCAUUUCAAGCCCGCAAGAGUCCAACAGCCCAGUCUUUUUCUAGGCCCAGUUUCCGGCAAUCAAUUGAAGUCCAGCCCGCAAUUUGAAGCUCAAGUAAAUUCAGUCCAGAAAUUCAGCAGGCCCAACCCAACUUGGGUCUGGCCCAAAAGCAAGAACAAAUCUCAGUUGGGCUGAGAUUUGUUGGGGCCAAGCAAGGCCAGUCCAAGUCCGCCGGUGGUUUCGAAAGCCCGAUUUCGGCCGCCGUCGCGUCGCCGUUGCGGUGAUCUGGUCUUUGUUCUUAUCAAGACCCUGAGGAGAAGCUAAGGAAGAGGAACCUGAAGGGGAGAAAGACUUUUGAAGAAGAAGACGAUCCAGAGAGGGAUCUUGAAUAUAACCCGGAUGUGGACUGAGAUCCCCAUCCUUUUGUAAACCCCGUCUUAGCAUAGAUAGGUGUGAGACAAGUAUGUUGUGAAUAGUAUUGUAAAUAUACUAUGAGUUGUCUGUUAAUGAAAGUGUGGUUAUGAAUUUCAA
This is a long non-coding RNA of Eucalyptus grandis, 1245 nucleotides long. RefSeq lists it as uncharacterized. NCBI's taxonomy places the organism in Eukaryota, Viridiplantae, Streptophyta, Magnoliopsida, Myrtales, Myrtaceae. The record is from RefSeq and is a predicted model, not a curated record. The transcript has 2 exons.